This 465-nucleotide ribosomal RNA is filed under the name Vreelandella stevensii. Its description in RNAcentral is "partial 16S ribosomal RNA". It matches the Rfam family "Bacterial small subunit ribosomal RNA", at positions 338 to 795 of the family's 1533-position model. The record is from RNAcentral. Lineage: Bacteria; Pseudomonadati; Pseudomonadota; Gammaproteobacteria; Oceanospirillales; Halomonadaceae.
CCUACGGGUGGCAGCAGUGGGGAAUAUUGGACAAUGGGCGAAAGCCUGAUCCAGCCAUGCCGCGUGUGUGAAGAAGGCCUUCGGGUUGUAAAGCACUUUCAGUGGGGAAGAAAGCCUUGGGGCUAAUACCCUCGAGGAAGGACAUCACCCACAGAAGAAGCACCGGCUAACUCCGUGCCAGCAGCCGCGGUAAUACGGAGGGUGCGAGCGUUAAUCGGAAUUACUGGGCGUAAAGCGCGCGUAGGCGGUCUGAUAAGCCGGUUGUGAAAGCCCCGGGCUCAACCUGGGAACGGCAUCCGGGACUGUCUGGCUAGAGUGCAGGAGAGGAAGGUAGAAUUCCCGGUGUAGCGGUGCAAUGCGUAGAGAUCGGGAGGAAUACCAGUGGCGAAGGCGGCCUUCUGGACUGACACUGACGCUGAGGUGCGAAAGCGUGGGUAGCAAACAGGAUUAGAUACCCCAGUAGUC